GGCGCAUGCGCAGGCGGCCGGGAACCGCGGGAGUUCCGCCCCCCCCCGCGGCAGUGCUGUCCCUCCCCGCGGGAGGCGGUGCGGCGCCGAGCAGCGCGGCCCAUAAUGUAGACCCAGAUCCUGUGUGACCAGGAGCAUCUGGAGUCCCAGUCCUGCCUGAGGACUGUGAUCCUCAGUCUGCCCACACAAAAACUUACACUUGUGUCCACUGGAAGGAAAUUCAGGUGUAUGGAAAGAGAAGGAUGUGCAGUGUUCUGCAGUUGGUUUCCA
Long non-coding RNA from Pogoniulus pusillus (Red-fronted tinkerbird), 270 nucleotides. RefSeq lists it as uncharacterized. The transcript has 4 exons. The record is from RefSeq and is a predicted model, not a curated record. NCBI's taxonomy places the organism in Eukaryota, Metazoa, Chordata, Aves, Piciformes, Lybiidae.